MicroRNA precursor from Monodelphis domestica (gray short-tailed opossum), 61 nucleotides. The record is from Ensembl. Lineage: Eukaryota; Metazoa; Chordata; Mammalia; Didelphimorphia; Didelphidae.
AAUACCUGUAGUACUUACCUCAUCAUUAUAUUCUCCCGGGGAGGUAAGUACUACAGGUAUU